Molecule: long non-coding RNA, 1063 nt
Organism: Anguilla anguilla (European eel)
Lineage: Eukaryota; Metazoa; Chordata; Actinopteri; Anguilliformes; Anguillidae
Exons: 2
Source: RefSeq, a predicted model, not a curated record
UUGGCUUUGGCUUCGCGCCAGUGCAUUGUGUAAUCAAUAUUAAUCAAGAGUAUUUCUCUGUAUUUUCACCAAAUACUGACUUAAAUUGAUUUUCUUUUGCAGAGUUCUCUACAUUUGGCCCAACAGCUCAAAUGGAAACUAGAGCACAAGAUCAGAAUGAAGUGAAGAACCCAAGGUCCAGCCUUUCCCACUCAAGACAUGCCUGAGACAAGAGUGACUGUAUUCCAAGUUGAACAAUGCACGGGAGGCCUGUGAAUUUGGGCAGUGUGAUUUGGAACUGUAUAGUACAUAAUAAGACUCUAUUGAGCUCUUAUAACCUUAUUAAAUAGCUAACAUAGAAAGCAUUUGUGAAAAUUAAGUAACAUGAAAAAAUGAAUGUGACAUGUCUUUAAUGGUGAUUGCAAGCCCUUAAAAAGUCUUAAAUUGUGUUAAAUGUAUUUUUGUUCAUAAAAUUGUCUAAUACAUCAUGACAGUUGAAUAUAUCAUGGUGUAUUUAUCUGUGGUUACAAUGCGUUUGUAUUUGAAUGUUAAAAACCCGCAAAGUGUCCUUUUCUUGGACCAAAAUAAACAUUUGGACAAAUGUCCAAAACAAUGUUGUUGUUUUAGAUAAUUGUAAAAAUGCCAAGUAGCUAGGAGUACAACUUGCCUGUGCUUACUUGUGUGGCAAACUGUCUUAAAUGUUAUUCUAAGAUGUUAUUCUAAAAUGUAAUGUAAUGUAAUGUAAUGUCUAAGAAGCAUUUAAAAUGUAUAAAAAGCCUUAAAUUUAACUUGCUAAUGCCUGCAGACAUUCUACUUUAAUAUGUGGGUGAUCCUAACGUAAAUGUAUUUCACCGCUUGAAAAAGACAAAAAUACUCAACACUGUUAAUGUUGAAAUCACUGGUCUAUGGUUAUUACUGUUCUGAAACUACCCUUCACCCUUUUUAUGUUUUUGUAUCGAGUUUUGUAUGUUUGUCUCAUCUUCUGUACCAUAAUUAUGCUUGCAUAUAUUGCUUACCUAGAAAUGUAACUUGAACCUGAUCUCAAUGGUAUUCUAUACAAUGACAAUAAAGGCUUUCUAUUCUA